RNAcentral lists this ribosomal RNA (253 nucleotides) under uncultured bacterium. RNAcentral describes it as "partial 16S ribosomal RNA". It matches the Rfam family "Bacterial small subunit ribosomal RNA", at positions 524 to 776 of the family's 1533-position model. The record is from RNAcentral.
UACGUAGGGUGCAAGCGUUAUCCGGAUUUAUUGGGCGUAAAGCGUUCGUAGGUGGAUUGUAAAGUGUUAUGUUAAAGCCCGUGGCUCAACUGCGGACUGGCAUGACAUACUCACAAUCUAGAGGGUGUUCGGGGAGACUAGAAUUCUCGGUGGAGGGGUGAAAUCCGUUGAUAUCGAGAGGAAUGCCAAGGGCGAAAGCAGGUCUCUAGGGCACAUCUGACACUCAGGGACGAAAGCUAGGGUAGCAAACCGG